AAUCGGGUCACACAUGUACUUGAAGGAUGAAUGUGGGGGGGUUUUAUUGAGUGGUGGAGGUGGCUCUCAGUGGAAUGGAAGGAUAUGAGGGGAGGUGGAAGGGGAAUAAAG
This is a long non-coding RNA of Sapajus apella (tufted capuchin), 111 nucleotides long. RefSeq lists it as uncharacterized. NCBI's taxonomy places the organism in Eukaryota, Metazoa, Chordata, Mammalia, Primates, Cebidae. The transcript is spliced from 4 exons. The record is from RefSeq and is a predicted model, not a curated record.